RNAcentral lists this ribosomal RNA (212 nucleotides) under Helotiales sp. RNAcentral describes it as "partial large subunit ribosomal RNA". Lineage: Eukaryota; Fungi; Ascomycota; Leotiomycetes; Helotiales. The record is from RNAcentral.
AAGCGCUUGCAACCAGACUUGCACGCUGUUGAUCAUCCAGGCUUCUGUUUGGUGCACUCAACUGUGUUCAGGCCAGCAUCGGUUCGGGUGGUUAGUUAAAGGUCCUGGGAAUGUAUCUACCUUCGGGUCGACUUAUAGCCCAGGUCGUAAUGUAGCCUACCUGGACCGAGGAACGCGCUUCGGCUCGGAUGCUGGCGUAAUGGUUGUAAGCG